RNAcentral lists this small nucleolar RNA (313 nucleotides) under Delphinapterus leucas (beluga whale). Its description in RNAcentral is "Small Cajal body-specific RNA 7 (ENSDLEG00000010791.1)". It matches the Rfam family "Small Cajal body-specific RNA 7". Lineage: Eukaryota; Metazoa; Chordata; Mammalia; Artiodactyla; Monodontidae. The record is from Rfam by way of RNAcentral.
UGGAAAUGAUGAAAUAGAGAUAAUUGGGUGUUGAAUGUUGUAUGAUUGGAAGAUUUUAAUACGUAAGUAAUCUAAUAUUUUUUAGCUAUUUGUUAGAGUGUGUGUGCAUGUGUGUGUGCUUGUGGAGGCUAUGAAAAGGGGGCACUGACUGGUGAUGCUGACGUUGGAGUGCAUCUGAGGCUGUUGUAGAAAUACAUGGGUUGUUGAUUACAACAUUGCCGAUGAUUAUAACCCAAGAACAGCUCACCUAAGUAGCCUAGCACCCUAAAAUCUCUAACAGGUUCAUUAAACAUGAUCCUGUGAUCUGAUCCAA